This 73-nucleotide transfer RNA is filed under the name Sphaerobolus stellatus SS14. Its description in RNAcentral is "tRNA-Ile (TAT) (tRNA-Ile-TAT-14-1)". It matches the Rfam family "tRNA". From Rfam's summary of the family: Transfer RNA (tRNA) molecules are approximately 80 nucleotides in length. Their secondary structure includes four short double-helical elements and three loops (D, anti-codon, and T loops). Lineage: Eukaryota; Fungi; Basidiomycota; Agaricomycetes; Geastrales; Sphaerobolaceae. The record is from Rfam by way of RNAcentral.
GACCCUAUAGCUCAGUUGGUAGAGCAUCCUAGAUAUUAUGGGAAGGUCCUAGGUUCAAAUCCUAGUGUGAUCA